UCUUGGACAAUGGGGGCAACCCUGAUCCAGCCAUGCCGCGUGGGUGAAGAAGGCCUUCGGGUUGUAAAGCCCUUUAGUUGGGGAGGAAAGGUUGCGUGCUAAUACCGCGUGACCGUGACGUUACCCAAAGAAUAAGCACCGGCUAACUCCGUGCCAGCAGCCGCGGUAAUACGGAGGGUGCAAGCGUUAAUCGGAAUUACUGGGCGUAAAGCGCACGUAGGCGGUCACUUAAGUCGGAUGUGAAAUCCCUGGGCUCAACCUGGGAACUGCAUUCGAUACUGGGUGGCUGGAGUAUGGCAGAGGGGAGUGGAAUUCCAGGUGUAGCGGUGAAAUGCGUAGAUAUCUGGAGGAACAUCAGUGGCGAAGGCGACUCCCUGGGUUAAUACUGACGCUGAGGUGCGAAAGCGUGGGGAGCAAACAGG
This 422-nucleotide ribosomal RNA is filed under the name uncultured bacterium. RNAcentral's name for it is "bacterial SSU rRNA". It matches the Rfam family "Bacterial small subunit ribosomal RNA", at positions 362 to 776 of the family's 1533-position model. The record is from RNAcentral.